Long non-coding RNA from Poecile atricapillus (Black-capped chickadee), 1255 nucleotides. RefSeq lists it as uncharacterized. The transcript has 2 exons. The record is from RefSeq and is a predicted model, not a curated record. NCBI's taxonomy places the organism in Eukaryota, Metazoa, Chordata, Aves, Passeriformes, Paridae.
UUUGGAAUUACAGCAUGUCAACGUGAGAAAGCCUCUUCAGACGGCUGCCACAAAGAGUAAAUCAAAGGCUGGGUGUCUCUGAAGUCUUAAUAAAUAACUAAGUGUAACUGAAUAAAACCAGGAGCUGUUUGUAUUUUUUUUAAGACAAAACAGAACAGCGUGCAUUUCGUUGCUCUGCAUCAGCUAAGGAAAAAAACCCUCAAUUUUAAUAAGAAUUAGUCAACAGUGAGGAUCAUUAUGAGAAACAGCUUUACUGUUUUUUCGACUACACUUGCUUUAGAGGAUUACUGAGAAAGAACACCAGUCAUUUGGAAGAUUCUGCAACGUUAUUAUCCUUACCAAUAAACUUCUUCAUCAAGAAACUGUUCGUGCUCCUAUCUGGUCUGUCUGAGAGAGGAGAGCAGCCCCUUCAUGAAGAUAAAAGCCUGGCUUGCCACUGAAUCGACAAGUAAGAAGCAUGUCUGAUGACAUUUUAUUCCUGAUGCAAUGUAGGCUAGCUGCCAGAAUACUGGUGAAGGUAUUUGCAGGAAAAAUGGGGACCUCUGCCAUCACAACACUGGAAGAUGUAAAAAGGCAAGAGGAGAAAGAGGAAAAAGAAGAAUCUAUUUUAGCACUGCUUGGGAUUAUUGGAACUGUGCUCAAUUUAUUUGUUAUUGUUUUUGUGUACAUCUACACUACACUUUGAUGACAUUUUUGAAAAUCAAUUGUACAGCACAAAGUGCAAAGACCUGCAAUGGUAAGGAUGAUUUCUAAAUUUAAAGCAAAAAACCCACCAUUCUCUGGAAAGAGUGUCAAAAACAUUCCAGAGUGAAGUGUCUGGCUAAGGGUGCUGCAGCAAUGACUGCAAAGUGCACCUAAGAGCCCAGCUAGGGUGCUAAAUUACGUAAAUGAAGGCAGACCAAAUACAACCUCUCGUUGGUAACAGAUGAAAUCUGAAUAGCAGGAUCAGAGAUGGCCCUGCUUUAUUGCCAGCAAACAUGCAAGACAGAAAUCUAGGCAAACACUGAAAAUAACCAGAACAUAGAAAGGGACAAACUAAAUAUAUAACUAACUAUUAGCAAGUCCCAUGCUUUCUACGGUUUUGUGCAGUAUGUCUCUUCAUAGCUGAGAUCACAAAACAGGCAAAAGGGUAUUUUAUUUUUAGUCCACCAUAAUUUAGGCUUAUAACUUACACUAAUGUAUAAUAAGUGUGGAAACAGGAACACUGUUAUACUAGAAGUUGUAAUAUUAUAAAUAAAAUUUUAACUAUUGACUA